This 455-nucleotide ribosomal RNA is filed under the name Enterococcus casseliflavus. RNAcentral describes it as "bacterial SSU rRNA". It matches the Rfam family "Bacterial small subunit ribosomal RNA", at positions 28 to 465 of the family's 1533-position model. Lineage: Bacteria; Bacillati; Bacillota; Bacilli; Lactobacillales; Enterococcaceae. The record is from RNAcentral.
GACGAACGCUGGCGGCGUGCCUAAUACAUGCAAGUCGAACGCUUUUUCUUUCACGGAGCUUGCUCCACCGAAAGAAAAAGAGUGGCGAACGGGUGAGUAACACGUGGGUAACCUGCCCAUCAGAAGGGGAUAACACUUGGAAACAGGUGCUAAUACCGUAUAACACUAUUUUCCGCAUGGAAGAAAGUUGAAAGGCGCUUUUGCGUCACUGAUGGAUGGACCCGCGGUGCAUUAGCUAGUUGGUGAGGUAACGGCUCACCAAGGCAACGAUGCAUAGCCGACCUGAGAGGGUGAUCGGCCACACUGGGACUGAGACACGGCCCAGACUCCUACGGGAGGCAGCAGUAGGGAAUCUUCGGCAAUGGACGAAAGUCUGACCGAGCAACGCCGCGUGAGUGAAGAAGGUUUUCGGAUCGUAAAACUCUGUGUUAGAGAAGAACAAGGAUGAGAGUAAU